Molecule: non-coding RNA, 900 nt
Organism: Cyanistes caeruleus (blue tit)
Lineage: Eukaryota; Metazoa; Chordata; Aves; Passeriformes; Paridae
Source: RefSeq, a predicted model, not a curated record
UUGGUGCGGACACGGCGGUGCUGACCGUGCCAGGGCUCCCGGCGUGUCCCCCCCCAGCAGAAAAGCGAUUUCGCUCGGGAGCUGCCGUGGAUUUGGGUGAGAAGGCGGAGCAGCGCCGAGGGAAGCCGCGCCGAGUCCUUGGGGGACCCGGCUCUGCUCGCUAAGGCAGUUCUGUAAAAAUAGCAGCAAAACUUAAAUGCUGGUCGAGUGAGGAAUAUAAAUGUUGAAAUAGCAGCAAAGGUAUGGCUGGAGGAGAUCAGAAGUCGCUUGCUCAGCACCUUGGCGCUGCAAGGGUUCUUGAGCCCUGGCAGAUCCCCUCGCUCCUCGCCAGGGCGCUGGGACCUGGGCUGCACGGACGGGAACAUCUCAUUCUCUUCGGAGCCGAGGAUUUUUAAACCCUUGGAGUUACCUGAAGGUGCCUUUGGUGGUUUGGAGGAAUUGCCCUGGUGUCUGUGGAAGAAUAACAGAUACACCGAUGACUUUGGGGUUAACUGCCAAACAGAUACACCAGUUGCAUUAAAUUUAUUCUAAAAAUGGGAAAACUGGAGAGGCACAACUUUUUGUCUUUUUCCUGGCAAUCCUGACGUGCUGUUUCCCAAGGAAGUGGAAAAGCCUUAGAAACCAAUGUUCCAAAAUACGGAAGACUCAGUGAGAAAUUUUCCAGAGCAAAUCAUCAGUAGUAAGAAAUUAUUGCUGAAUUUUCUGUUUUUUGGGGUUUUUUCUUUUGAAGUGAGGAGUAACUUCGCUCGGAAUGCAUUUAUCCGGGAAGUAAUCCUUAAUGCGCUCCACUCCGAGCACCGAGCCUGCAUGUGAGAUUGAGGAAGGUUUAAUUAAAUGUAAUCAAAUAUUACAGCAUUCCUGAUUAAAAGGCAUAGCGCUUGCUUUUGGUGACGUACGAGA